This 747-nucleotide ribosomal RNA is filed under the name Enterobacter sp. Its description in RNAcentral is "bacterial SSU rRNA". It matches the Rfam family "Bacterial small subunit ribosomal RNA", at positions 391 to 1097 of the family's 1533-position model. The record is from RNAcentral. Lineage: Bacteria; Pseudomonadati; Pseudomonadota; Gammaproteobacteria; Enterobacterales; Enterobacteriaceae.
GCCAUGCCGCGUGGAUGAAUGGAACGUCGUCCGGGAGUAACGUACGUUCAGCGAGGACGAACGUGUUGAUGGCUAAUUAGCUGCAGCCAGUGGACCGUACCCGCAGAAGAAGCACCGGCUAACUCCGUGCCAGCCAGCCGCGUAAAUACGGAGGGUGCAAAGCGUUAAUCGGAAUUUACUGGGCGUAAAGCGCACGCAGGCGGUCUGUCAAGUCGGAUGUGAAAUCCCCGGGCUCAACCUGGGAACUGCAUCCGAAACUGGCAGGCUUGAGUCUUGUAGAGGGGGGGUAGAAUUCCAGGUGUAGCGGUGAAAUGCGUAGAGAUCUGGAGGAAUACCGGUGGCGAAGGCGGCCCCCUGGACAAAGACUGACGCUCAGGUGCGAAAGCGUGGGGAGCAAACAGGAUUAGAUACCCUGGUAGUCCACGCUGUAAACGAUGUCGACUUGGAGGUUGUGCCCUUGAGGCGUGGCUUCCGGAGCUAACGCGUUAAGUCGACCCGCCUGGGGGAGUACGGCCGCAAGGUUAAAACUCAAAUGAAUUGACGGGGGGCCCGCACAAAGCGGGUGGGAGCAUGUGGUUUAAUUUCGAUGCAACGCGAAGAAACCUUUACCUACUCUUUGACAUCCACGAGAACUUUAGGCAGAGAUGCUUUUAGUGCCUUUUCGGGAACUAGUGAGACAGGUGCUGGCAAUGGCUGGUCGUUCAGCUCGUGUUGUGAAAUUGAUUGGGUUAAGUCCCGCCAACGAGC